This 483-nucleotide ribosomal RNA is filed under the name uncultured bacterium. RNAcentral's name for it is "partial 16S ribosomal RNA". It matches the Rfam family "Bacterial small subunit ribosomal RNA", at positions 28 to 507 of the family's 1533-position model. The record is from RNAcentral.
GACGAACGCUGGCGGCGUGCUUAACACAUGCAAGUCGAACGCUGAAGCUCAGCUUUUGUUGGGUGGAUGAGUGGCGAACGGGUGAGUAACACGUGAGUAACCUGCCCCCUUCUUUGGGAUAACGCCCGGAAACGGGUGCUAAUACUGGAUAUUCACUGGUCUUCGCAUGGGGGUUGGUGGAAAGGGUUUUUCUGGUGGGGGAUGGGCUCGCGGCCUAUCAGCUUGUUGGUGGGGUGAUGGCCUACCAAGGCUUUGACGGGUAGCCGGCCUGAGAGGGUGACCGGUCACAUUGGGACUGAGAUACGGCCCAGACUCCUACGGGAGGCAGCAGUGGGGAAUAUUGCACAAUGGGCGCAAGCCUGCUGCAGCGACGCCGCGUGAGGGAUGGAGGCCUUCGGGUUGUGAACCUCUUUCGCUCAUGGUCAAGCCGCAACAAUGGUUGUGGUGAGGGUAGUGGGUAAAGAAGCGCCGGCUACCUACGUG